This is a long non-coding RNA of Rosa chinensis, 299 nucleotides long. RefSeq lists it as uncharacterized. The transcript has 2 exons. The record is from RefSeq and is a predicted model, not a curated record. NCBI's taxonomy places the organism in Eukaryota, Viridiplantae, Streptophyta, Magnoliopsida, Rosales, Rosaceae.
GCUCACUCUCUCUUUUGAAGGCGAGGUUUAUGUGUUUUUUGCUGUUAUGCCCCAGAAGGAACUAUAUGGUGGAAUGUUGCAUAAAGAGUCUUUGGGAGAUCGAGCGUGGAGUACCAAGCAUUAAUGCAACAAGCUAUAUUUUGUUUCAUCAUGUAAAACUUAACCAGGAAACUUAAAUGCUUUUUAGUCUAUCCAAUGUAUGAAUGCUUUAGCAAUGUUCCUUAAAUUCAAUAUUUGAUGAAUUGAUGUAUCCCAAUGACUUUGGUACAAAUGUUGAUCAUUUGAUGGUUUGCAUUCAA